CGAAGGGGGCGAGCGUUGUUCGGAUUUACUGGGCGUAAAGGGCGCGCAGGCGGCAGACCAAGUCAGGCGUGAAAGCCCCGGGCUUAACCUGGGAGGUGCGUCUGGGACUGGUUUGCUAGAGUUCGGGAGAGGAGAGUGGAAUUCCCAGUGUAGAGGUGAAAUUCGUAGAUAUUGGGAAGAACACCGGUGGCGAAGGCGGCUCUCUGGACCGAGACUGACGCUGAGGCGCGAAAGCGUGGGGAGCAAACAGGAUUAGAUACCCUGGUAGUCCACGCUGUAAACGAUGUGUGCUAGACGUUGGGGAGCCUAGCUCUUCGGUGUCGCAGCUAACGCGGUAAGCACACCGCCUGGGGAGUACGGCCGCAAGGUUA
Molecule: ribosomal RNA, 371 nt
Filed under: uncultured organism
Description: bacterial SSU rRNA
Rfam family: Bacterial small subunit ribosomal RNA
Source: RNAcentral